RNAcentral lists this non-coding RNA (28 nucleotides) under Bombyx mori (domestic silkworm). The record is from RNAcentral. Lineage: Eukaryota; Metazoa; Arthropoda; Insecta; Lepidoptera; Bombycidae.
UCAGCGAUUUCGCCCGAUACGGUACUGC